CAUAGAUUAAAGAAUGAAUAGAUGGCUCACUCCUUUGAUGUUCUUGACGCUGCCGACACGCGCGACUUCCGGCCGGCCGCCAUUACUCUGGCAAGAACACCCCAGCAAGAACAAUAGGAAAAUGUAUUGUGAAAUUGACAUCGCCGCUACUAAAUCCUAAUUUUUUCCGCUCUCGGGCAUCCGAAUGGAAGAAAUCGAUCAGAAUUAUGAAAAGGGAAGGUAUGAAAACAAUUUUGAUGUUUUUAUUUGCCAAGAAAACAUUUCUUUGACUUGAAAUACUUAUUUCUAUUGUUUGGCCAGAUGGGCUCCGAAGAGUGCAGAGAAUUUAUAUAACAUGAUUCGAUGGUAAAAUAUAUACUCGAAGUGUUCACAGUUCUGCUUCAAAAUUAUUCUCUAUUGUUUCCUUUUUAGUUUAAAUUAUUAAAAUGGAAAACUGAUUACUGGACAAUAUAUUUUUAUGGCUCUAAAAUGCGUUUUACGAACUAUGUAUAUUUCGCAUGUCAAAUUACUAGUAUGCCACCAGAUACAUGUUCUACAUUUUAAUUUGAAAGCAUUCCUGUUUUCCAUAAACCAUAACCAGUUCUAUAUAUGUUUUACAAGUGUGCAACUUUAAUGUACUUUUUGCUCUUUCUCUUAGAUGGAGAUGCCAGUCAACUAUAAAUGUGGAUGUGGUAUAGACAGGACAAGCAUGUCAGACAGUCUUCCAGGUGCAGAACAAAGUCAAAGAAGGGCUGUGUUGGCAGUAUCAGUCCUGAACUGCUGAAGAGCUAGUAUCAUUUCUGUAGUUCAUGAAAUGACAGUACAACAAUGAAUCAGAUUCAAGAUACUUGGAUGUCAUGGUUUCUUUACACGAGGAACAAUCAUGGACAUGGAAACAUUUCUUAAGUAGAUAUAUCCAGCUACAUAUGCCACAGCGUUUUGUUGUACCAUAAUGGAUAUUAUGGCUUAUCAUUCAAACAAUUUUUAAUAGUCGGAUUGACGAACAUAGAAUCUUGCUCAGAACAUAGUUUGCAGGUGGCGUAUAAAUACUUGAUCUUGGGGGUUUUAUUCAAAAGGUCUUCACGUCGACACAGUAUAGGGAAACAACAGCAGUGCCACUCAGCAUCAAAAAGUGUCCACAUUAUUUACUGGCUGCCAACUUAAUUAACAUAUUGGCAGCCAGUAAACCACACAGUUCACUAUAAAAUUGUAUUACAGAAUAAAUGGUUUUGGCCGUGUAAGACACCUGGAACUAAGUAGCCCUACUGUUGUUUCCCUGUACUGUGAGGUCGACAUGCAACAACCCACUCUUUGGGUCUACAAGAAUUCAUUACAAACUGUUUACAUGUUGAAAACAACUGUAUAUGUUUAAAAUAAAAUCUUUAAUAUCUAAAUUCAUUUAAAUUAAAGAAAGAGACGUUGUCUGAAGUAGUUCUAAUCUGACAAUUAGACCUAUUCAAAAAAAAGUAUAAGUAGUUGAAUGUCAAAGGAAAGUAGCACAAAAAGGUCAGAGGUUAAACGACUUCACACAUUGAGACAAACUGAGUAUCACUGAGUUGUGAGUUUCUCUCUUAUUUUUAAUAUAUAUUAUAUUUUUUCAAGAAAGUUGAAUUACUGUAUGAUAAAAUUUGCAUAGUUGUAUAAGAAAAAUAUUUCAAAAUAAAAUAACAAGUGAGUGUUUGAAACAGAGAACUAUAACAAUUCCUGAAGUCCAUAUUUAUAUGGUAGUACUGUGAUUCAACAAAACCAUUUACAAUAAUAUAUCACCAGUUUAAUGUAUAUUUGUAUCUAAAACACAGUAAAAUAUCCUCCUUGAUAAUGUUGAUCCAAGUUUUAAAACUGGUCACAAACAUUUUUCAUUUUCUUGAAAGUUCAAGUGUCCAAUAAAGCCAUGUUUUAUAAAGGUCAAUCACCAAAUCUUUCACGAAAGUAUUGUUAUUUUGGAAAGCAGAUUAUCAAAGAGCAAAGUAAGUUCUUGCUUUGUUUAUGCAUGUGUAACCAAAUACCUCUUUCAGAAAUGUUUCAAUGUCUAUGAUUCUUUAUUUAAGAAACCAUGGUAACUAAGGAUUGAGGAGCUUACUUCUUCAGGAUUGAUAUAGAAUUAAUCCAAGUCUAGGAUUGAUAUUGCCACAUCAGCCCUUUAUAUUUGAUUUGCAUAUGGAAGAAGUGUUUAUUCAACAUUUUUUGUUUAUACCAAAUCCACAUAUAGUUGAUCUUUUUUGCUGAAGAGCAUAAUUAAAAUGUCCAUGUCGCACAUUCAAGUGCUGCCAGAGUUUCCAAAAUAUAUAUUGAAGUAUCAUUCCUCAAAAAAUAGAUUUCAUCUAAGAGAAAGAACAAAAAAAGUACAUUAAAGUCGCACAAUUGUAAAACAUAUAUAGA
Non-coding RNA from Paramuricea clavata, 2358 nucleotides. The record is from the annotation of a GenBank genome assembly. NCBI's taxonomy places the organism in Eukaryota, Metazoa, Cnidaria, Anthozoa, Malacalcyonacea, Plexauridae.